This is a non-coding RNA of Pelobates cultripes (western spadefoot toad), 233 nucleotides long. The record is from the annotation of a GenBank genome assembly. Lineage: Eukaryota; Metazoa; Chordata; Amphibia; Anura; Pelobatidae.
CCAAAGUACCUCAUAAACUCCCUUGUGGCUUGUUACAACCUCUUCCCAUUCCUGAGGUCCCAUGGUCCCACUUGUCUAUGGAUUUCAUUGUAGAACUUCCUAGUUCUAAUGGUUAUACCACAAUUCUCAUUAGGCAUGUGCAUGGGGAAAAUAUUCGUCUCGGUUCGGCAUUCCAAAAUUCUGGACUUUUUUCAAUUGGGGACUUCGGCAACUUCGGCACUUUGACACUACGG